ACAUGAAUAACGACUUUCAAUAGAUAAUUUGGUAGGAUUGUAAAGAUAAAGUUCAUCAUUUUUCUGACAGUCGACUGCAGCAGAAAUGCCAGUUGUUGUUUUUCCAGCGUUACUUGGCCAGUCAGUUAUUGCAGAAUACGAAAUCAUCAAACCAUUCUUCUGAAGGUAGUAGACACCAUCAUCUUUUCUGGUUCUUAUAUAUGCAGAAAUAAAAUAUAAACCGGGAAACUCACAUACAAACUUCCCAGUCGACUUGAAUGAAUUAAUAUCAUUUAUACCAGUAUGUGUUAGUAUGUUUGGAAAACUGGCAAUACCAUUUGAAAAAGUACCUCCAUUGGAAUAGGCUGUCAAUGCGACU
This 358-nucleotide long non-coding RNA is filed under the name Mytilus galloprovincialis (Mediterranean mussel). The record is from RNAcentral. Lineage: Eukaryota; Metazoa; Mollusca; Bivalvia; Mytilida; Mytilidae.